GCCAUGUCAGGGGAGUUGAACUGGCCGCACCGACAGGGUCCCUUGGCUCUGGUGCUGGAGUGAUCCAUGCGGUCCAAAGCUGCUGUGGGGCUCUUUGGCGUGACCCGGACCUGUCGCGAGCUUUUCUCCAGGAGGAGCAUGAAACCCUUUAUGUGAUGCAAUUCAGCACAAGGGUCUUUACCUGGCCCCUGUGGGUCCCAUUGGAGCCGUUUGGUACCACCCAGUACUCCGAUCAUCACAAAGCCAGCCGUGAUCAUCACAAACAUCUGCCGUAGCCCAGCCUGGCACACAGGUGGCACAGCACAGAGUGGCAGUGGGUAUGGGCAGCCUCUGUCCCUCCACCCUGCCUGAGCUUUGUGUCUGAGCAAGAACAGGAGGUAGCACUGGCAAAAAUGCUGAAGAGGUGGGGACAAAAGCUGCUGAAGAUGCAGCUGAAGUGACAUGUGACUCAGUGACGUGUCAUCCUUGGCUCAUAGGAAGAGGUGAGACAAAGCUUGGCCAAGAGGAAAUACACUUGGAAAAUUAAAACACUUUACAAGAAAAAUAGCCUCUUCUUCUCUCUUCCUGAUGUCUCAAUUUUCACUGCUCAUCCAGUAAUUUUUGUAUGUAUUAUGAAACAUUAAUGCUGGCCUUAAUUCUGGUGACUGUCCCUCAUCAAUAGAGUAAGAUUUGACCUUUUGCUGACUUGCUACUUUGCAGCAUUUUCUCUCUGCCCUCCAAACCUCAGUCUGUUUUCUGCAUUGAACUUUCUUGCUGUGUCUUUUAAGCUCUUUUUGUGCAGAAGUAAAAGUUCCUUGUGGGCAGAGAUGCUUAUUUGUCUGUUAUAAUUUAUCCACUGUAUGGGAAUCAUGAAGUUAUAUAAAGCAGCAAUACUAUUAAUAGCAGAGAAGGCAGAAAAUUCUCUUUCAAAGUUUUAGUACAAGUUCCCUAUCAACUUAAAUGGAAGCACAAUCCAUAAAGUGGCACAGUCUUGUGUAUAAGAAUUCUGAAUCACAGAGAAAAAUUCAGGAAAAGGAAGUGUAAUAACCAUGUCUACUCACAGAAAUUUAAAUGCAGCCACACAAAUCUUUUAAAUGUUCCUUGGUCAGGUAAGUGUUUACAGCUCGGUAUUGGCUCAGGCAGGAUUAAUGUGAACUGGAAAACAAACCCAGCAAACAUUGUUGGAGCAACAGGGCAGCAAAAGUUUAGGGCAACCCCUGCUGUAACAAGAAACUGACCACUCCUUGCUAGUGAACUGCCAGAGACAAAUGUGUGUGAAAGCAGCAGUGAAAAAUU
This 1275-nucleotide long non-coding RNA is filed under the name Cyanistes caeruleus (blue tit). RNAcentral's name for it is "lncRNA (ENSCCEG00000001277.1)". Lineage: Eukaryota; Metazoa; Chordata; Aves; Passeriformes; Paridae. The record is from RNAcentral.